Molecule: long non-coding RNA, 311 nt
Organism: Cheilinus undulatus (humphead wrasse)
Lineage: Eukaryota; Metazoa; Chordata; Actinopteri; Labriformes; Labridae
Exons: 3
Source: RefSeq, a predicted model, not a curated record
AUCUGAUUAAAAGGCAUUUUACUAUACAUGCAUAUUAUGAGGAAACAUUAUGCUAAACAAACCUACCAUAUGCUGUAUGUUAAUGAAGGACCCUGGUGGAUGUCAAUAUAUUCCCUGCUCACAGCAAUCACUUUGGAGAACAACAAGAAGUGGAAGCCAAAACUACAAAACAAAUCCAAGUGUGACCUCCACUUAAGGCUGGAUCAAAAGGUGCUCUGUUGGAUCAAGAUCUUGUGACUGUGGAGGCGUUGGAGUACAGUGAACUCAUUGUCAUGUUCAAGAAACCAGUUUGAGAUGAUGAGCUUUGUGGC